AUGGAAUAUUUGAGGAUUUUAGGCACUGAAAUCACUACAGGAGGGGCAAGCACCAGGCCACGAGAGUGGAGGGCGCCCCCUCCUGGGCGCCCCCUGUCUCGUGGGCCCCUGGUGGCCCCCUCUACUUAUGCCAGUACCCACACGUUUAUUAUUGACAACGAAGAGAAGAUGCUCUUGUAUAACCUUAGAUUUAAUAAGAAACACAAUGAGACUAUUAUUUUGCCUGCGCCUCUGUUGUUUGAUUUGCUUGCAGAUAAGUUUCUUGUCACGCUGGAGGCGGUGUAUGCUCAUCGAGCCCAAGCAUCCACUCCAGAACCUGAACCUGAGCCGGAACCUGCACUGGACCCUUAUCGUGCAUCAUCUUUCCAGUGGGAUCCGGAGAUGACCUACCAGUGGUAUCCUGAUUACACCUCCCAGUACAUCGGGGAGAGUAGCGGCGGUCCUUGGUAUUAUACCAACUUAGGCCAAAAUCCUAAGCUUGGGGGAGUACGUAUUUCUCACCGACUUUACAUGUUCACACACUAG
Molecule: ribosomal RNA, 525 nt
Filed under: Triticum aestivum (bread wheat)
Lineage: Eukaryota; Viridiplantae; Streptophyta; Magnoliopsida; Poales; Poaceae
Description: partial small subunit ribosomal RNA
Source: RNAcentral